Lycium barbarum (goji berry) is the source of this 100-nucleotide small nuclear RNA. The record is from RefSeq and is a predicted model, not a curated record. Lineage: Eukaryota; Viridiplantae; Streptophyta; Magnoliopsida; Solanales; Solanaceae.
AUCCCUCUAUGGACAUCUGAUAAAAUUGGAACGAUGCACAGAAGAUUAGCAAGCCCACACAUGGAUGACACACACAAAGACCUCUAAUACAAUCAUUUAU